AUGGCGCCGCCGCCGGAGCUGAAUCCCGACAUCGUGGACGAGGUCCUCGUCCGCCUUCCGCGGGACGACCCCGCGGGCUUCAUCCGCGCCUCCUUCGUCUGCAAGUCCUGGCUCGGCACCCUCACCAAUCCGGCCUUCCUCCGUCGCUACCGUGACUUGCACGGGACGGUGCCCCUCGUGCUCGGCUUCCUGCACAACCCGGUCGACCGCAGCCUCGCUCGCUUCGUCCCCACCACGGCGUUCCGUCCGCCCGCCGCCACCGACCACAGCACCACCGUCGUGCUCGACUGCCGCCAUGGCCGUGCCCUCUUCUACGACUACGGAUCCUCGGAAUUCGUCGUAUGGGAUCCCAUCACUGGCCGCGAGCGCCGGAUGCGCGACGACGUGCCCCAUCGCUGCACGAACCACACGGUGCUCUACGCCGUGGGCGCCGGCUACGACCACAGCGCCUGCAGCGACGGGCCGUUCCUCAUGGCCUCCGCGGGCGUUGAGUGCAUAGACUUGGUGCAGGCGGACGCUUGCGUCUAUUUGUCGGAUACCGGCGUGCGGAGAGGACCAGACAGCAUCUACCUCGAUUUCAUCCCCGAGGAAGCAUACGAUAGUGAUCGGCCUAGUGUGCUUGUUGGGGGCACGCUCUACUUCCACUAGUAGAAAACGUCCAGCGCUAUGCUACGGUACGACGUUCUGGGUACGCAGGGUCAAGGCUCCCUGUCGGUGAUUGAGCCGCCUCCCGGCAAGUUUCCCGGCAGCAGUACCAUUGUCGUCAGGGCGGAGAACGGCGGGCCGGGAUUGGCCACCUUGCGUCGUGACGUGCUCCAGCUUUGGUCGACAGAGAUGGGUCCCGACGGAGAUGUCUGGGUGAAGAUGAACCGCAUCCAGCUCCGGAAGCUGAUGCCUUUCAAGAGCCCAGCUCGUUUGAUUGGAUUAAUCGAAGACGCCAAUGUUGUUUUCGUGACCUCAGAUGACCAUGGCAUCUUCACUGUUGACCUCAAGUCAUUGCUGACGAAGAAGGUGUGCGAGAUGGACAAGGUCAAGGAUGUAUUUCCUUACGUCUGCUACUAUACUCCAGCUGGUACUUCCUCAUCUUUGUUUGGUUAG
This 1098-nucleotide ribosomal RNA is filed under the name Triticum aestivum (bread wheat). RNAcentral's name for it is "partial small subunit ribosomal RNA". The record is from RNAcentral. Lineage: Eukaryota; Viridiplantae; Streptophyta; Magnoliopsida; Poales; Poaceae.